CCUACGGGUGGCAGCAGUGAGGAAUAUUGGUCAAUGGACGAGAGUCUGAACCAGCCAAGUAGCGUGAAGGAUGACUGCCCUAUGGGUUGUAAACUUCUUUUAUAUGGGAAUAAAAUGUUCCACGUGUGGGAUUUUGUAUGUACCAUAUGAAUAAGGAUCGGCUAACUCCGUGCCAGCAGCCGCGGUAAUACGGAGGAUCCGAGCGUUAUCCGGAUUUAUUGGGUUUAAAGGGAGCGUAGGUGGAUUGUUAAGUCAGUUGUGAAAGUUUGGGGCUCAACCGUAAAAUUGCAGUUGAAACUGGCAGUCUUGAGUACAGUAGAGGUGGGCGUAAUUCGUGGUGUAGCGGUGAAAUGCUUAGAUAUCACGAAGAACUCCGAUUGCGAAGGCAGUUCACUGGACUGCAACUGACACUGAGGCUCGAAAGUGUGGGUAUCAAACAGGAUUAGAUACCCCUGUAGUC
RNAcentral lists this ribosomal RNA (460 nucleotides) under uncultured bacterium. RNAcentral describes it as "partial 16S ribosomal RNA". It matches the Rfam family "Bacterial small subunit ribosomal RNA", at positions 338 to 795 of the family's 1533-position model. The record is from RNAcentral.